AACGAACGCUGGCGGCGCGCCUAAUACAUGCAAGUCGAGCGAGAAGACGUAGCAAUACGUUUGUAAAGCGGCGAACGGGUGAGGAAUACAUGGGUAACCUACCCUCGAGUGGGGAAUAACUAGCCGAAAGGUUAGCUAAUACCGCGUACGCUCCUUGGACUUCGGUUCAGGGAGGAAAGCGAUACCGUGGGUAUCGCGCUCUUGGAUGGGCUCAUGUCCUAUCAGCUUGUUGGUGAGGAACGGCUCACCAAGGCUUCGACGGGUAGCUGGUCUGAGAGGACGAUCAGCCACACUGGCACUGCGACACGGGCCAGACUCCUACGGGAGGCAGCAGUAAGGAAUAUUGCGCAAUGGGCGAAAGCCUGACGCAGCGACGCCGCGUGGGGGAUGAAGGUCUUCGGAUUGUAAACCCCUUUCGGGAGGGAAGAUGGAACGAGCAAUCGUUCGGACGGUACCUCCAGAAGCAGCCACGGCUAACUUCGUGCCAGCAGCCGCCGCCGUAAC
This 504-nucleotide ribosomal RNA is filed under the name uncultured bacterium. RNAcentral describes it as "bacterial SSU rRNA". It matches the Rfam family "Bacterial small subunit ribosomal RNA", at positions 29 to 524 of the family's 1533-position model. The record is from RNAcentral.